Long non-coding RNA from Gymnodraco acuticeps, 2168 nucleotides. RefSeq lists it as uncharacterized. The transcript has 2 exons. The record is from RefSeq and is a predicted model, not a curated record. Lineage: Eukaryota; Metazoa; Chordata; Actinopteri; Perciformes; Bathydraconidae.
CAUGUGCUUUUGAUCCAAAGAGCAGUCUGGUAAAACAGACUCCACCUAUGUUUGUUUGUAUACGCAUGUAAUUGUGCAUCUGGACAGCUUGCUGCAAACAUCCUAACUAACCUGCAUUGACUACACACCUGUAGCCAAACCUAUAACCUAACCCCUUAGCUAGCAUUUCCUGGAAAGACUGAACAAAAAUGCAGGGCUUCAAGCAACAAUGCAUGCGUGACAUUCACAUGAUACUCACCUAAUUUCAUUAAGGAAGCCAGCAGGAUCCAUAAUGAGAUCUCAAAGGGGGCCUGUAUGUAUUGGUAGUUGAGGGUGAGCACAGGGAAUGCCUUUUUAGUGUAGUUUUCCUCCUUCUCUUGGGGGUUGUCCACGUAGUCAUUGUGGGUGGUAUCGGGAGAGCUAGCAGCCCCGAGAGGAAGCACGGAUCCCUGCAGUAAAACCAGCACGAUCAGCAGGAGCAGCCCCCGCUCCGCGGUGUUUCACAAGUUGUGUCAGUGGCUAUGAAUGUCCUCCUUGGUGAAAGAUGUCAUUGUUGAUGCUGGAGGCUCAGCGGCAUCCCCCUCCACGCCUCUUCUUCCCUCCGACUGUCCGAGAAACACGUCCGUGAGGCGGCUGCGGUGCUCAGAUACUGACCUUGAAGAGAAGCCACACUGCUGUCACGUUGCAUUUUUGCCGCGUAGCCUAUGUAAUUCAACUUUUUGAUACAAGUGUCCGUAUAUGCGGCAUUCCCAGCACCGUGUUCAGGGGAGGACAAGAAGACCUCGGUCGGGACUCAGCCCAGAGGGAGGAUGCGGUGGGGAGGAUGCGGUGGGGUGGACUCGAGGUGUGAUCUCUGCCCAGCCUUCAGUGGCUUUUCCCGGGUUGUCAAACGAAGAGUGGCGACUGGUCUUGUCUGCGUUGGUGUUUAGCUCCAUACAACCUUCAAAAAGCACACCCUUUCGCGGAGGUUUGGUGGAUGGGAGGAGGAGGAGUGGUAGGGGAGUGGGAUGGACGACUAUACUGACACCUAUAGGAAUGGAGGGUUAAGGUGUAUCAUCAUGAGUAAGAAAAAUGAAUAGCAACUCAGUAACUGCUGUAACAAAUUCUUCAGAUACACAUCAAUUCCUUUUUGGGAUUUGCUUUGUAUGGUUGUUAUAGGCAGUAAUCUGAUACUGUUGAAUUAAAAUGGCUCCGGGUCAUUCUUGCUUCCACAGGGAGGUCAAAGGUCAAUUACAGACCACAGCCCAGAGCGUUAACCAUUAUGUUGGUUGACUGUAAGAAGCCAGUUACAUAAGUGUCAUCAUAUGGAUCACUCAAACAGUCCGUAUAGAUAGCACUAAUCACAUAAAUAUAACCAAGUGUGCCUUUUUCCUAAUCUCAGAUGAUGGAAAUUAUGCCGGGGUACAUCAGAUCGCUCCAUGAUCUGAAUACUUCAUUAAGCAUUAUGUGACCCAGUAUUCUGAGCAAUGAUAUUCACAAUAACAGGCUGAAGAGUGGGAGUGCAUACAUUUACAAAAAAUCCCUUUAGCUGGAAUUGAAAACAGGUUAUACAGGACAUUAUGUUUACCAAGAGGUCAGGGGUCAGUUUCGCUCCAGGGCCCCGAGUGCAGUUUCAGCCCAUUGCUCAAAGACACACCCAGGAUGUAUUGAACCAGGAGGAUUAUGUUUAAAGAUACAAACAGCAUACUAAUGAGUAUAUUGUUUGUUUUUUGUUUCCUGGUGUGUGGGAGUGGCCCUGAAAAGUACUUGAAUUACAAGUUAAAAAAUGAUGACUCAACAUGUGCUUCUAGUGGAAGCACGCCUUCCACAUUUAGCAACGUAUCAUCUAUUCAUCCAUUCAACAAAGACCUGAAGUAGGCCUGCUGUUUUAGAAGGGUUGCUUGUGUUGAAGUGACACUACAGACUUAUAAAAAACAGUAAUGUUGACCUUGUGCCAAAAAAAGAGCAAUCUUUGAGAGUGCUUAGGUUUUUGUACAAUGCAAAAUGUAAAUGUGGAUGUACUGCUUUAUUCUGUUAUGAUAGUAAAUGGAGUACCCUUGGGUUUUGGAUCAACUGUAAUGAGCAUGUUUUAAUACACCAAAUGAUUAAUCAAGAAAACACUUGGUAGAUACAUUGAUAUUGAAAAUUAAGAAGAUCAGCCUUUGUAAAGCUCAUUUUAAAAUGAGAAACAAAUAAAAAUCCAAACAAUC